RNAcentral lists this ribosomal RNA (428 nucleotides) under uncultured archaeon. RNAcentral describes it as "bacterial SSU rRNA". It matches the Rfam family "Archaeal small subunit ribosomal RNA", at positions 474 to 903 of the family's 1478-position model. The record is from RNAcentral.
AACCAGCUCUUCAAGUGGUCGGGAUGAUUACUGGGCUUAAAGUGUCCGUAGCCGGUUUAGUAAGUUCCUGGUAAAAUCAGGUAGCUUAACUAUCUGUAUGCUAGGAAUACUACUAUACUAGAGGGCGGGAGAGGUCUGAGGUACUACAGGGGUAGGGGUGAAAUCUUAUAAUCCUUGUAGGACCACCAGUGGCGAAGGCGUCAGACUGGAACGUGCCUGACGGUGAGGGACGAAAGCCAGGGGAGCGAACCGGAUUAGAUACCCGGGUAGUCCUGGCCGUAAACGAUGCAUACUAGGUGAUGGCCCGGCCAUGAGCCGUGUCAGUGCCGUAGGGAAACCGUUAAGUGUGCCGCCUGGGAAGUACGGUCGCAAGGCUAAAACUUAAGGAAUUGGCGGGGGAGCACCACAAGGGGUGAAGCCUGCGGUUC